GACGGGGACCCGCACAAGCAGCGGAGCAUGUGGUUUAAUUCGAAGCAACGCGAAGAACCUUACCAGAUCUUGACAUCCAAUUGACCAUCUUUUAAUCGAGAUUUUGCCUUCGGGUACAAUUGAGACAGGUGGUGCAUGGUUGUCGUCAGCUCGUGUCGUGAGAUGUUGGGUUAAGUCCCGCAACGAGCGCAACCCUUGUGUUUAGUUGCAAACAGGUCAAGUUGUGCACUCUAGACAGACUGCCGUGGACAACACGGAGGAAGGUGGGGAUGACGUCAAAUCAUCAUGCCCCUUAUGAUCUGGGCUACACACGUGCUACAAUGGCCGGUACAACGGGCAGCGAAGGAGCGAUCCGGAGCGAAUCCUAAAAAGCCGGUCCCAGUUCGGAUUGCAGGCUGAAACUCGCCUACAUGAAGUUGGAGUUGCUAGUAAUCGCGAAUCAGAAUGUCGCGGUGAAUGCGUUCCCGGGUCUU
RNAcentral lists this ribosomal RNA (473 nucleotides) under uncultured Fusibacter sp. Its description in RNAcentral is "bacterial SSU rRNA". It matches the Rfam family "Bacterial small subunit ribosomal RNA", at positions 912 to 1382 of the family's 1533-position model. The record is from RNAcentral. Lineage: Bacteria; Bacillati; Bacillota; Clostridia; Eubacteriales; Fusibacteraceae.